GACGAACGCUGGCGGCGUGCUUAACACAUGCAAGUCGAGCGGUAAGGCCCUUCGGGGUACACGAGCGGCGAACGGGUGAGUAACACGUGGGUGACCUGCCUCUAGCUCUGGGAUAAGCCUGGGAAACUGGGUCUAAUACCGGAUAUGACUCCACGGCGCAUGUUGUGGGGUGGAAAGCCUUGUGUGGCUAGAGAUGGGCCCGCGGCCUAUCAGCUUGUUGGUGGGGUGAUGGCCUACCAAGGCGACGACGGGUAGCCGGCCUGAGAGGCGACCGGCCACACUGGGACUGAGACACGGCCCAGACUCCUACGGGAGGCAGCAGUGGGGAAUCUUGCGCAAUGGGCGAAAGCCUGACGCAGCGACGCCGCGUGAGGGAUGACGGCCU
RNAcentral lists this ribosomal RNA (385 nucleotides) under uncultured bacterium. Its description in RNAcentral is "bacterial SSU rRNA". It matches the Rfam family "Bacterial small subunit ribosomal RNA", at positions 28 to 417 of the family's 1533-position model. The record is from RNAcentral.